RNAcentral lists this long non-coding RNA (481 nucleotides) under Heterocephalus glaber (naked mole-rat). RNAcentral's name for it is "lncRNA (ENSHGLG00000039042.1)". Lineage: Eukaryota; Metazoa; Chordata; Mammalia; Rodentia; Bathyergidae. The record is from RNAcentral.
CCACUAUUGAGUCGCUGGGCAUGGUGGUGCACACGUGUAAUCCCAGCACUCAGGAGGCUGAGGCAGGAGGAUCACAAUUUCAGUCCACUUUUUGCAACUUGGCGAGACCUGUCUUAAUUAAAGUCAUACCCGUGUAUGGUGGAGGCAAGGGAAGAACCCAGCUCGCUGUUGCGGUGACCGUGACAUGCAGGGCCCUGGUUUGGGGAUGGACACUCCGGGGCACAGGCCGAGCUAUGGGCCAGGGUGCUGUGCCUCUCCUACCCACUCGCUCACGUGGGCCUGGCAGACGGAGCCACUAUACUCCCUAGAGACAAUGCCAAGUGCUUCCUGGGGGACGCUUACCAAGGGUUCCUGUUCCUGCAGGUCUGGCACCCCAGAUCACUGAGCAGGAUGGGGUGACAGGCCCUGGGCAGGUGGAGCAGAGAUGUGUGCCCCUCCUCCAUCAUGGGGUUGAGCAGCAGGGAACCUGGCUUUGUGGCUG